Molecule: ribosomal RNA, 465 nt
Filed under: uncultured bacterium
Lineage: Bacteria
Description: partial 16S ribosomal RNA
Rfam family: Bacterial small subunit ribosomal RNA
Source: RNAcentral
CCUACGGGAGGCAGCAGUGGGGAAUUUUGCGCAAUGCUCGUAAGAGUGACGCAGCGACGCCGCGUGAAUGACGAAGGCCUUCGGGUCGUAAAGUUCUUUCGACAGGGAAGAAAAUGCCUAUAAGUAACUGUGUAUGUAUUGACGGUACCUGAAUAAGCAGCCCCGGCUAACUCCGUGCCAGCAGCCGCGGUAAUACGGAGGGGGCGAGCGUUGUUCGGAGGGACUGGGCGUAAAGAGCACGUAGGCGGUGUUGUAAGUCAUUAGUCAAAGACUAGAGCGCAACUUUAGUAAGGCUAGUGAUACUAUAAUACUAGAGUAUCAGAGAGGAUUGCAGAAUUCCUGGUGUAGCUGUGAAAUGCGUAGAUAUCAGGAGGAAUACCGUUAGCGAAGGCGGCAAUCUGGCUGGAAACUGACGCUGAGGUGCGAAAGCGUGGGUAGCAAACAGCAUUAGAUACCCCUGUAGUC